This 360-nucleotide ribosomal RNA is filed under the name uncultured archaeon. RNAcentral describes it as "bacterial SSU rRNA". It matches the Rfam family "Archaeal small subunit ribosomal RNA", at positions 320 to 682 of the family's 1478-position model. The record is from RNAcentral.
GCCUUACGGGGUGCAGCAGGCGCGAAACCUGCACAAUGUGGGCAACCACGAUGCGGGAACUCCAAGUGCUUACACUAUGUGUAAGCUGUUCUGGAUCCUAAAAAGCUCCAGAAGUAAGGGCCGGGUAAGACGGGUGCCAGCCGCCGCGGUAAUACCCGCGGCCCGAGUGGUGCUCAUUAUUAUUGAGCCUAAAGCGUCCGUAGCUGGCCGGGCAAAUCUCCGGGGAAAUCGGGCCGCUCAACGGUCCGAAGGCCGGAGACACUGCUCGGCUUGGGAUCGGGAGAGGGUGAAGGUACUCUCGCGGAAGGGGUAAAGUCCUGUAAUCCCCACGGGACCUCCAGCGUCGAAAACGGUCACCUA